This 253-nucleotide ribosomal RNA is filed under the name uncultured bacterium. RNAcentral's name for it is "partial 16S ribosomal RNA". It matches the Rfam family "Bacterial small subunit ribosomal RNA", at positions 524 to 776 of the family's 1533-position model. The record is from RNAcentral.
UACGGGGGGGGCAAGCGUUGUUCGGAAUUACUGGGCGUAAAGGGCUCGUAGGCGGCCAACUAAGUCAGACGUGAAAUCCCCCGGCUUAACCGGGGAACCGCAUCUGAUACUGGAUGGCUUGAGUUCGGGAGAGGGAUGCGGAAUUCCAGGUGUAGCGGUGAAAUGCGUAGAUAUCUGGAGGAACACCGGUGGCGAAGGCGGCAUCCUGGACCGACACUGACGCUGAGGAGCGAAAGCCAGGGGAGCAAACGGG